Molecule: ribosomal RNA, 467 nt
Filed under: uncultured bacterium
Lineage: Bacteria
Description: partial 16S ribosomal RNA
Rfam family: Bacterial small subunit ribosomal RNA
Source: RNAcentral
GACGAACGCUGGCGGCGUGCUUAACACAUGCAAGUCGAACGGAAAGGCCCUGCUUUUGUGGGGUGCUCGAGUGGCGAACGGGUGAGUAACACGUGAGUAACCUGCCCUUGACUUUGGGAUAACUUCAGGAAACUGGGGCUAAUACCGGAUAGGAGCUCCUGCUGCAUGGUGGGGGUUGGAAAGUUUCGGCGGUUGGGGAUGGACUCGCGGCUUAUCAGCUUGUUGGUGGGGUAGUGGCUUACCAAGGCUUUGACGGGUAGCCGGCCUGAGAGGGUGACCGGCCACAUUGGGACUGAGAUACGGCCCAGACGCCUACGGGGGGCAGCAGUGGGGAAUAUUGCACAAUGGGCGGAAGCCUGAUGCAGCAACGCCGCGUGCGGGAUGACGGCCUUCGGGUUGUAAACCGCUUUCGCCUGUGACGAAGCGUGAGUGACGGUAAUGGGUAAAGAAGCACCGGCUAACUACGU